CUUGGAGAUGAAAUGAGUACUGUUUUAUGCUGCUGAUGAAAUGGGAAAUUGUCGCAAUCUUGCUGGAAAGCUAUUUGGCAGUACAUAUCAAGAGUUAUCUAGCAGGCUGAAGAAUAUGGACAAAGAAUUGUGGCCAGUGGGAAAGCUGUCUUUCACCAUUUCUACAAACAGACACGAUGAAAGCAUCUUAUGCUACGUGCCAGAUGCAGCAUCCUAGCGCUGUCACCGACUCCCUCAAGAAACAGAAUAAUCUGUCAAAAUCUGCUGUCACUCACCCUCUCCCUCUACCUCCACCUAAGCUCAGGGAUUCUAGGGUAUUUACCCUCAAAUCCCAUCCGGUCCCCUUCAAGAGGUUGCCACCAGUCAACCACACCAGAGAAGCGCCCUGAAGCUUUGGGAAGGUAACUGUUCCUCAGACUCAUAUGAACAUCUUCAGAAUAAAGACCAAAUCUUGUCUUCUAUCUCCAUUGUGCCCAAACGUUGCUAGACGAAUAGUUGUUGUCCAGAGUUUG
Molecule: long non-coding RNA, 512 nt
Organism: Equus quagga
Lineage: Eukaryota; Metazoa; Chordata; Mammalia; Perissodactyla; Equidae
Exons: 3
Source: RefSeq, a predicted model, not a curated record